UGGCUCAGAGCGAACGCUGGCGGCAGGCCUAACACAUGCAAGUCGAACGGAUCCUUCGGGAUUAGUGGCGGACGGGUGAGUAACACGUGGGAACGUGCCCUUUGGUUCGGAACAACUCAGGGAAACUUGAGCUAAUACCGGAUAAGCCUUUCGAGGGAAAGAUUUAUCGCCAUUGGAGCGGCCCGCGUAGGAUUAGCUAGUUGGUGGGGUAAAGGCCCACCAAGGCUACGAUCCUUAGCUGGUCUGAGAGGAUGAUCAGCCACAUUGGGACUGAGACACGGCCCAAACUCCUACGGGAGGCAGCAGUGGGGAAUCUUGCGCAAUGGGCGAAAGCCUGACGCAGCCAUGCCGCGUGAAUGAUGAAGGUCUUAGGAUUGUAAAAUUCUUUCACCGGGGACGAUAAUGACGGUACCCGGAGAAGAAGCCCCGGCUAANUCGUGC
RNAcentral lists this ribosomal RNA (441 nucleotides) under bacterium SV11. RNAcentral's name for it is "bacterial SSU rRNA". It matches the Rfam family "Bacterial small subunit ribosomal RNA", at positions 20 to 508 of the family's 1533-position model. The record is from RNAcentral.